GAAAUAGGGCAGCAGUAACAGCAGAGGCUCCCAGUAAAGUUGAUAACCCUGAUGCUGUCAAUAGCUAGGAUAUGACACCUGUGGAGGCAAUCUAAACUUUUCAACUCUCCCAAUUAGCCAGAGACACCCAAACUGCACGUGUUGAGGUAACCCCCUCCCCUGUUUGGAGAAUAAAUGCAGAGUGUGAGGUGCUUGGAGGCUGGGGAACAGAGGUCUAUGUGAGAACCUCCACCAAGCAGGCUGUGGCCACAGCACUGAAGGGUGCCACACCAACAGGCAGAGUGUGCUUACAAGGCUGGGAAAUUCAUCUGAGAAUCAAACAUGUCAAUCACCAAAUGGCCCCUCUUCAAAACCCAAAGGGCUCCCGGGAACAGGCAGGAUCCAAACCACUGACCCUUAUGUGACAUUCAGAAGCAGCAAUACCUGUCUGUCCAAAGAGCUUCCCUCUGUCUAUAAGAUACA
Long non-coding RNA from Serinus canaria (Common canary), 462 nucleotides. RefSeq lists it as uncharacterized. NCBI's taxonomy places the organism in Eukaryota, Metazoa, Chordata, Aves, Passeriformes, Fringillidae. The record is from RefSeq and is a predicted model, not a curated record. The transcript has 3 exons.